GACGAACGCUGGCGGCGUGCUUAACACAUGCAAGUCGAACGGUAAGGCCCUUCGGGGUACACGAGUGGCGAACGGGUGAGUAACACGUGGGUGAUCUGCCCUGCACUUCGGGAUAAGCCUGGGAAACUGGGUCUAAUACCGUAUAGGACCAUUGCCUGCAUGGGUGGUGGUGGAACGAUUUUGCGGUGUGGGAUGGGCCCGCGGCCUAUCAGCUUGUUGGUGGGGUGAGGGCCUACCAAGGCGACGACGGGUAGCCGGCCUGAGAGGGUGACCGGCCACACUGGGACUGAGAUACGGCCCAGACUCCUACGGGAGGCAGCAGUGGGGAAUAUUGCACAAUGGGCGCAAGCCUGAUGCAGCGACGCCGCGUGAGGGAUGACGGCCUUCGGGUUGUAAACCUCUUUCAGCACCGACGAAGCGCAAGUGACGGUAGGUGCAGAAGAAGGACCGGCCAACUACGUGCCAGCCGCCGCCGUAA
RNAcentral lists this ribosomal RNA (478 nucleotides) under uncultured bacterium. RNAcentral's name for it is "partial 16S ribosomal RNA". It matches the Rfam family "Bacterial small subunit ribosomal RNA", at positions 28 to 523 of the family's 1533-position model. The record is from RNAcentral.